UGCCAGCCGCCGCGGUAAUACGGAGGGAGCGAGCGUUAAUCGGAAUUACUGGGCGUAAAGAGCACGUAGGCGGAUCUUUAAGUCGAUUGUGAAAGCCCUGGGCUCAACCCAGGAAUGGCAGUCGAAACUGAUGAUCUUGAAUGCUUGAGAGGUUGGUGGAAUUCCAGGUGUAGGAGUGAAAUCCGUAGAUAUCUGGAGGAACAUCGGAGGCGAAGGCGGCCAACUGGCAAUGCAUUGACGCUGAGGUGCGAAAGCGUGGGGAGCAAACAGGAUUAGAUA
RNAcentral lists this ribosomal RNA (279 nucleotides) under uncultured bacterium. Its description in RNAcentral is "partial 16S ribosomal RNA". It matches the Rfam family "Bacterial small subunit ribosomal RNA", at positions 506 to 784 of the family's 1533-position model. The record is from RNAcentral.